GACAGAGGGUGCAAACGUUGUUCGGAAUUACUGGGCGUAAAGCGCGUGUAGGCGGUCGCGCAAGUCGGGUGUGAAAGCCCGGGGCUCAACCCCGGAAGUGCAUUCGAUACUGCGUGGCUAGAGUACCGGAGAGGGUGGUGGAACUCUCGGUGUAGAGGUGAAAUUCGUAGAUAUCGAGAAGAACACCGGUGGCGAAGGCGGCCACCUGGACGGAUACUGACGCUGAGACGCGAAAGCGUGGGGAGCAAACAGG
This 253-nucleotide ribosomal RNA is filed under the name uncultured bacterium. Its description in RNAcentral is "partial 16S ribosomal RNA". It matches the Rfam family "Bacterial small subunit ribosomal RNA", at positions 524 to 776 of the family's 1533-position model. The record is from RNAcentral.